ACCGGUCUUCAUCCUCUCUAUAUUUCUUUCGUCAUUACAAAAUAACCAAUACAGUUUUUGGAUUGGAAGAAAGAAGAUAAAAUGGAGGAAGAACAAAUAAGAGUCGUAAAGAUAAUAGUUAUUGGAGUAAUAUUAUGGGGUGUGAGCUUUAUUCUCACCAGAAGAAUCUUCUCAAGCUACUCCUUCGACUUCAGCAACCGUCUUCUCUCAACUGUUCACGCGACAGUCGCUGUCACUUUAGCAACAUUCUCUGUUCAAGAUUGGUCUUGCCCUGUUUGUCCUCGUGCUUCUAAGCCGUCUCCCCAACAGAUGGAUACAAUGGCGUUUUCAUUGUCGUACAUGAUAUACGAUCUCAUAUGUUGUCAGUUCGAUCAAGUGAUCAGCAUGGACAAUGCGGUUCAUCAUUUUGUCAGCAUUCUUGGUUUUGUUGCUGGAUUUGCCUACCAAAAGUCUGGAUCUGAGAUCAUCGCUACACUGUGGAUAGCAGAGAUAUCGAGUCCUUUUUACCAUUUAAGGGAGAUUCUUAAAGAGAUUGGAUACAGAGACACCAGCGUCAAUCUGGCAGCCGAUAAAAUAGGAUCAUCUAAAGGAGAACCAAGUUUCCAUGGCUCCCUGAUAAGCUGAGUUUGUUGGGGAAAGCGGACACGAGGCGCAUCGGAAUGUAGCAAUCGUGUUUCCCCUGACCUUGUGAGAAUCUGAGAGAAAAAUACUUCGACGAUAGCAGGAUAUAAUAUAAGCAAUAACUAAAUGAGACAAACACUUUUUACGUGGAAAACCUCCUCGAUGUGAGAAGGAAAAACCACGGGACCGUAGUCUACUCAACAAUCCACUAUAUAAAUGUAUGUGAGUACAACCACGUCCUUCCUGUUCAACAACCUGAACAGAACAGAGACUCAAGCUACAAAGAGUCAUCUCCAACACAAGAACAACAACAACAAGAGAGCAACACAAAGCUUCAAAACCAGCAGAAACCAAACGACCUCAGCUCACAAGGAUUCUGGCAACCAGAGACUAAUCCCACCGUACAAAUCCAAGAUACACCAGUAAACAACACCUCUGCCAAAUUUCAGCUCAAUCCGAGAAGAUCUCACCGUCGGAUAUACCAAACACUCAAGACAGCACUGCUGAAGAACUGUGACGACCAGCUUCACUAAAACCCAGACAACAGAAGAUCCAACCGUUGAAAUCUAAAUCCCUUCGGUGAACCUUUAACUUACUGACUGAAGAAGCUUCCCAAAAAAUAUCAGCCCGAUCAGGAUCUGUUUGACCCUCCAAAUCUGUAUUGACAAACCCAGACGAAAUUCUGCCUCCUUCCCUCUUUUCUCUCUUUUGUCUUUUUGAUUCUUGUAAGUCUCUACAUAAAAAAAUAGGUCAAGAGACUAUAUAUAUGUGUCUCACUAACCCUAAGAACCUCCAAGGCCCAAUACUAAUCUCAUGGACUAAUACCAAUUGCCCAACUUCCAAGUUUGGUUAUCACCAACCAAACCCAAUGGGUUUCCUCCAUCUAGAAGGAACCCAACAGAGUUGUGGCUAUGUCUGAUGCUUUAGAUACGAUUUCGAAUUUGUUUGUCGAUGAUUUUUGUAAGCCCUGACGCAGCCUUUGGGUCCUCUCCAAACCUCUUACAAUUCCGUUCUGCCCAAACUGCACAUAGAGUGGCUUGGAAAGCAUAUCGAAACAAGAACAGCUCCAGUUUGCUUCACCUUUUAGUGAGAAGGGGUAUAAUGUCAUCCCACACAUUGGUAUAAUCCAUCCUCAAAAGCUUUCUGGUGAGGAUCGUCCGCACCUCCCCCGAGUAUUUACACUGAAAAAACAGAUGGUUUCUUGUCUCAGGACAGUCCUUGCACAGCGGACACAUAACCGCAAUGCCACCAUUCCAUAGCGAUAUGCGAUCUCCAGUAGGCAGUCUAUCCAGGAUUGCGACCCAUGUGUGGAAGGAGAACCUUGGAGUGCUGUAGCGAAACCACACACCUUCGAACCAGUCAACCCGUGCCUGCAUCCCUCGCAAGAGCUUCCAAGUUUCUUUGGUAGUAAAGCUCAGUUUAUAAUCAUCACCACACUUCCAUAGUCUGAUAUCCUCUUCACUCUGCAACCCUCUGUGUUUAACCUUCAAAAUCUCCAGCUCGAUGAGAUUAAAAACCUCCACUCGGUGUCUUCUUCUCUUGUGCUUUUGGAUUACUGUAGCAACUGUAUCAUGGAGUCGAAUACCCAUAUUCAUAGGUCCACCAGCUCAUGUUUUAUCCAUUAGACAUCCUAGUUCUGACCAGUCAUCAAACCAGAAAGACGUUGACAUGCCAUUCUUAACUUUCAUCUUCGAAAAUACAGCAGCAACUUCUCUGUACUUGAAUAGCUUCUUCCACAUCCACGAGCCAAGAGAACUACUAUCUUUUACUGUCCAGAAAGAUCCCUUGCGGAUUAGAUAACGUCUCACCCAUUUCACCCAAAGAGAAUUUUUUGAAGAUAGGAUACGCCAUACCAACUUCAGACAAGAGACCUGGUUUGCUUCCUCAAGAGACCGUAGUCCCAAGCCUCCUUCUUCUUUUGGCCUACAGUAAUCCUUCCAACUAACUUUUGCUUUAUUUGUAUUCAUAUCAGCUCCCGACCACAGAAACGCUGCGCAGAGACUGUCAAUCUCUUGAAUACACUUUCUUGGCAAUUUAAAUGCUGAUAUCCAAAAGUUUGUGAGACUGUGAAUAACAGAUCCAAUCAGCUGCAGUCUACCGGCAAAAGACAAAAAUCUGGCUGUCCAGGAACCAAUACGAGCUCUGAUCUUCUCAAUCAAAUGAGCAUAAUUUCUUACAGUCAUUUGUUUAGUUAACAGCGGCAACCCGAGGUAUAUCACUGGUAAGUCACCAUGGGCGAAAGCAAAAGUGUCAAGGAGCUCUUGCUUCUCAGUAUCUUGUACACCAGCGAGAAAGAUUGUUGUCUUUUCCACGCUGAUAUGUAAACCCGACAUCUCAACAAAAUGGUUGAAAAUAUUUAUAAUACCUUCAAUGGAUUGGCGCUUCCCAUCUGCAAAGCUGAGAUGUGUAAGCUUAAGUCCUUGGCAGUAAGGAUGGUAUCCAAAUCUCUUUUCUGCAGCACCUUUGUUAAGCAUUUUCGACAACACUUGCAUACAAAUAACAAACAGGUAUGGUGACAAAGAACAACCUUGUCUGAUUCCCCUUUUGCUAUUAAAAUAUCCGGCAAGCUCUCCAUUGACUUGCACCGUGAAAGAGGCCAAAGAAACACAUUUUUCAACCCAUAAAAUAAACUUUUUCGGAAUACCCAGCGCUGCAAGAGUGGAUAGCAGAAAUGACCACUGUACUGUGUCAAAAGCCUUUGAUAUGUCAAUCUGAAUAGCACUUAUGGCCGAGACAGUGCUUUUAUGGUAACUCUUGACUAGUUCUGAAGCAAGUAGUACAUUUUCCAUGAGGAGGCGAUCCUUUACAAAAGCUGAUUGGUUUGGCUCAAUGAACUUAGGAAGGACCAGUUUCAGUCUGUUCGCCAUGAGCUUUGAAAUGAUCUUAUAUAGAACAUUACAACAAGAAAUUGGCCUGUAGUCUUUCAUCGUUUUAGAUUCCUCCUUCUUUGGUAUGAGAGCCAAAAUAGUUGAGUUCACUCUUUUUGGUAGAAACCCAGUAUCCAAAAAAGCUUUAACAGCCACCACAAAGUCCUUACCAACUAUAUGCCAUGCAGCUUUAAAGAAUUCACAUGUAUAUCCAUCAGGUCCUGGUGCUUUGUUUCCGGCCAUGGAAAAUAUGGCCUUUCGGAUCUAAACCAUAAAUUAUUAUAAGACAAAAUCUAAAAGACCAUACAAAAGCAUAAUGAAGAAUUGAUUUUUUUCAAGGAAAUUCGUUAAAGAAGGGGCUAGAAAUCAGGAACUAGAGCAGGUUAAUGUACUUAUCUACCGUCACCAGUUCAAGGCUAACUGCAAGCAAAUAGAUCCUAUUCUUUCAGAAAACCGAAUACAUGUUAGAAUCGGUUAGGUGUAUAACUCUUAUACAACUAUUAGGUACAGUAAACAAAAGUGUGAAAAUAUUUUUUUGGCGUUAGUUUUUUUUUUCAAACUAGGAUAGAUGAUGAAUUGAAACCCAUAUAAAUUCUUGAAGCAUGUAGUAUUCUUUUUUUUGGGCAAAAUUGGGAGGCAACAUUCAAUUGCAAUUAUUAAUAAAUAGAUGGUUAGUUGUUGAAGAUUUCUUUGUUAGGUAAGGAGGUCCUUCUGUAAAACCCAAAUCUACUUAUUUGUUCUGUCAGCAUUUCUGUCCUUUUAAAUCUACUUUUGUGUAAAGCUUCUAAAAAAAGUUCUUGACAGAAAAAAAGUUAUUACUUACAUUAAUUGAUGAUAGGUGUGUUUUGCCACUAUUUUCACAUUGGCGAGAAUUGUGUGUGGACCCUUUCUCGUUUACGUAAGUCUAACGGCUGAUAAUCCCAUCUUCAUCAAGGCAAUGGGAUCCGGAUUACAACUCGUGAGUAUAUUUUGGUUCUAUAAAAUCUUUGGGAUGAUGAGAUAUAAACUAUUUAAGAAGCCAAAGUCAAACAAAAAGGCUACCUAGGCAGAGACGCAAAAGUUGAUUCAUACAAUUGUUUUCUUUCUUCUUUUCUAUUUAUUAAAUAUACAUCGUUUAUAUAUUUUAAAUUAAAAUGUAGCAGACGAAAAAGAAAGUUAAAAAAUCAAAAACUUAAAGUAUAAUAUAAAUAA
This is an RNA transcript of Brassica napus (rape), 4679 nucleotides long. It is a transcript of the gene named TLC domain-containing protein 5-like, with no coding region annotated. The record is from RefSeq and is a predicted model, not a curated record. NCBI's taxonomy places the organism in Eukaryota, Viridiplantae, Streptophyta, Magnoliopsida, Brassicales, Brassicaceae. The transcript is spliced from 5 exons.